Molecule: non-coding RNA, 26 nt
Filed under: Mus musculus (house mouse)
Lineage: Eukaryota; Metazoa; Chordata; Mammalia; Rodentia; Muridae
Source: RNAcentral
UAUAAGAACAUGCUGGUGCCUGGGUA